This is a long non-coding RNA of Mauremys mutica (yellowpond turtle), 348 nucleotides long. RefSeq lists it as uncharacterized. NCBI's taxonomy places the organism in Eukaryota, Metazoa, Chordata, Testudines, Geoemydidae. The record is from RefSeq and is a predicted model, not a curated record. The transcript has 3 exons.
GAUUUUACACCCUUCACCCCAAACUGAAAAUUCCUCCAUAGCCUGCAAAGUGCCUAGGAGCUAUAGUCAUGGAUGAGGACUCCAUUAUGCUACAUGCUGUACAAACACAGAGCAAAGAGAUGAUCUAAUACUAAGCUGGGUAGUAUCAAGAGGUUGGAAGUGCACAGACUACGAGUCAUCUUUGAAUUUGUCCUUCCUGGAACAUAGUUUUGUUGUUCAUAUGGGAUGCUUGUUCAUGGUUUAAUGAACCAAGUAUGCUCCACCUUCAUUAUAAUGCUUGCAGUAACUGCUUUCUGAUAAGAUUACUGUACUCUGGCUAUAAUCUCCAUUAAGCUGUAUUCCAGUUAC